Molecule: non-coding RNA, 93 nt
Organism: Colletotrichum eremochloae
Lineage: Eukaryota; Fungi; Ascomycota; Sordariomycetes; Glomerellales; Glomerellaceae
Source: the annotation of a GenBank genome assembly
GCCCUGGUGGUCUAGCGGUAUGAUUCUUCCUUAGGGUUGUCGCAAGAUAUAUCCACCUGGAAGAGGUCCCAGGUUCGAUCCCUGGCCAGGGCC